RNAcentral lists this ribosomal RNA (482 nucleotides) under uncultured Aquimarina sp. Its description in RNAcentral is "bacterial SSU rRNA". It matches the Rfam family "Bacterial small subunit ribosomal RNA", at positions 28 to 505 of the family's 1533-position model. The record is from RNAcentral. Lineage: Bacteria; Pseudomonadati; Bacteroidota; Flavobacteriia; Flavobacteriales; Flavobacteriaceae.
GAUGAACGCUAGCGGCAGGCUUAACACAUGCAAGUCGAGGGGUAACAUGAGUGCUUGCACUUGAUGACGACCGGCGCACGGGUGCGUAACGCGUAUAGAACCUACCUUAUAGUAAGGGAUAGCCCAGAGAAAUUUGGAUUAAUACCUUAUAGUAUCCUAAGUGAGCAUUCACUAAGGAUUAAAGAUUUAUUGCUAUAAGAUGGCUAUGCGUUCUAUUAGCUAGUUGGUAUGGUAACGGCAUACCAAGGCUACGAUAGAUAGGGGUCCUGAGAGGGAGAUCCCCCACACUGGUACUGAGACACGGACCAGACUCCUACGGGAGGCAGCAGUGAGGAAUAUUGGACAAUGGAGGCAACUCUGAUCCAGCCAUGCCGCGUGUAGGAAGACUGCCCUAUGGGUUGUAAACUACUUUUAUAGAGGAAGAAACCGCGAUAUGUAUAUCGCUCUGACGGUACUCUACGAAUAAGGAUCGGCUAACUCCG